This 485-nucleotide ribosomal RNA is filed under the name uncultured bacterium. Its description in RNAcentral is "bacterial SSU rRNA". It matches the Rfam family "Bacterial small subunit ribosomal RNA", at positions 29 to 536 of the family's 1533-position model. The record is from RNAcentral.
AACGAACGCUGGUGGCGUGUUUUAUACAUGCAAGUCGAGCGAGGACGGUAGCAAUACCGAGCCGAGCGGCGAACGGGUGAGUAACGCGUAAGCAAUCUGCCCCACAAUCGGGAACAACCGUGCCAACGCGCGGCUAAUGCCGGAUAUUGUAGUCUACUGCAUAGUAGGCCAACGAAAGAUUUAUUGUUGUGGGAUGAGCUUGCGUCCGAUUAGCUAGUUGGCGGGGUAAUAGCCCACCAAGGCGACGAUCGGUAGCCGGCCUGAGAGGGUGAUCGGCCACAUUGGGACUGAGAUACGGCCCAGACUCCUACGGGAGGCAGCAGUGGGGAAUAUUGCACAAUGGAGGAAACUCUGAUGCAGCGACGCCGCGUGAGUGAAGAAGGCCUUCGGUCGUAAACUUUAGUCCUAGGGACGGAUAAUGACGGUACCCUACGGAGGAAGCCCGGCGUAACUACGUGCCAGCAGCCGCGGUAACGAUACUCGUA